GGAGAGGUGUCCGAGUGGUUGAAGGAGCUACCCUGGAAAGGUAGUAUGUGGGCAACUGCAUCGAGGGUUCGAAUCCCUCUCUCUCCGCCA
This 90-nucleotide transfer RNA is filed under the name Taibaiella sp. RNAcentral describes it as "tRNA-Ser". It matches the Rfam family "tRNA". From Rfam's summary of the family: Transfer RNA (tRNA) molecules are approximately 80 nucleotides in length. Their secondary structure includes four short double-helical elements and three loops (D, anti-codon, and T loops). Further hydrogen bonds mediate the characteristic L-shaped molecular structure. tRNAs have two regions of fundamental functional importance: the anti-codon, which is responsible for specific mRNA codon recognition, and the 3' end, to which the tRNAs corresponding amino acid is attached (by aminoacyl-tRNA synthetases). tRNAs cope with the degeneracy of the genetic code in two manners: having more than one tRNA (with a specific anti-codon) for a particular amino acid; and 'wobble' base-pairing, i.e. permitting non-standard base-pairing at the 3rd anti-codon position. Lineage: Bacteria; Pseudomonadati; Bacteroidota; Chitinophagia; Chitinophagales; Chitinophagaceae. The record is from RNAcentral.